This 468-nucleotide ribosomal RNA is filed under the name uncultured bacterium. RNAcentral describes it as "bacterial SSU rRNA". It matches the Rfam family "Bacterial small subunit ribosomal RNA", at positions 329 to 793 of the family's 1533-position model. The record is from RNAcentral.
UUCCAGACUCCUACGGGAGGCAGCAGUGAGGAAUAUUGGUCAAUGGGCGAGAGCCUGAACCAGCCAAGUCGCGUGAGGGAAGACGGUCCUAUGGAUUGUAAACCUCUUUUGCCGGGGAGCAAAAAGCGGUACGCGUACCGCAUCGAGAGUACCCGGAGAAAAAGCAUCGGCUAACUCCGUGCCAGCAGCCGCGGUAAUACGGAGGAUGCGAGCGUUAUCCGGAUUUAUUGGGUUUAAAGGGUGCGCAGGCGGCCUGUAAAGUCCGGGGUAAAGGCCGGGGGCUCACCCCCGGCGAGCCGUUGAAACUGGCGGGCUGGAGUUGGAGAGAAGUACGCGGAAUGCGCGGUGUAGCGGUGAAAUGCUUAGAUAUCGCGCAGAACCCCGAUUGCGAAGGCAGCGUACCGGCUCCACACUGACGCUGAGGCACGAAAGCGUGGGUAUCGAACAGGAUUAGAUACCCCCGUAAAG